Long non-coding RNA from Chelonus insularis, 216 nucleotides. RefSeq lists it as uncharacterized. The record is from RefSeq and is a predicted model, not a curated record. Lineage: Eukaryota; Metazoa; Arthropoda; Insecta; Hymenoptera; Braconidae. The transcript has 2 exons.
CGGGAAGGGGUUGAGCUUGGAAAGCAGGCGCCAACGAUAGACAUUACGUCAUUUCACUAGUCCGCGUGUUACCUUUGAGAGAUGUGCAAUACACCAAGGAAAUCGUUUCUAUUCAGAUAAUAUUGCCGAUUAUUAACAGUUGAUACAUACUACUUUUCAACAAAUAAUGUGCUAAAGUACCCAUUGUAAAUGUCAACAGUUUUAAUUAACAUUCAA